Molecule: long non-coding RNA, 12409 nt
Filed under: Theobroma cacao (cacao)
Lineage: Eukaryota; Viridiplantae; Streptophyta; Magnoliopsida; Malvales; Malvaceae
Description: long non-coding RNA (TCAC_LNC002728)
Source: RNAcentral
AAACAAAUGAAGGGUCACUUUCAUGGGUAUGAAUUUCAAACUUGAAACUUGCUGUCCAAGCAUGUGAUCCAUUAUAUUGACUUUGGCCUGGCAACGAACUUUGCGUCUUGAGCUCAUCAAAGCAAUGGCAGAAGUGAAGCUACACGGAUUCUGGGCCAGUCCUUUUAGUCAUAGAGUGAUUUGGGCAUUGAAAAUCAAAGGUGUAGAAUAUGAAUACAUAGAGGAAGACCUUUCUAACAAGAGUGAACUGCUGUUGAAGUACAAUCCUGUUUACAAGAAGAUCCCUGUCCUUGUCCAUGGCGGCAAGCCGAUUGCUGAGUCCCUCGUCAUCCUUGAAUACAUCGAAGAAACCUGGCCGGAGAAUCCAUUGCUCCCAAGUGAUCCUUAUGAGAGAGCCAUGGCUCGAUUUUGGAUUCAAUUCGGAGUAGACAAGGUGAUUUUCAUUCUUUCACUAUCUCCAUUGAGGCGUUGACCUAUCAUUCUUUUCUUUAAUGUUCUUGUUAACAAUUAUCAAACUUUACAAUGAUCGUAGGGUCCGGUUUUCCGUGCAUUUUUUCUAUCAACCGGUGGAGAGGAGCAAGAGAAAGCAGCAAAGGAAUUCUCGGAAAUGCUGAAAAUUAUAGAAGAGAAAGCUCUUGGGGACAAGAAGUUUUUUGGUGGUGAUACCAUUAAUUUAGUGGACAUCUCCUAUGCAACGCUGGCCUAUUGGUUCAAGAAUGUGGAAGAAGUAAUUGGCGUUAAGGUUCUGGAACCAAACACCUUACCCCGUCUGUAUCAAUGGGCUCAAAAUUUCAAGGAAGUUCCUGUCAUCAAAGAAAACAUUCCUGAUAAUGAUAAAAUGUUGGCCUAUACAAGACUAAUCAGGGAGAAGAUUCUUGCUGCACAGCUCAACAAAUAGCAUAAAAAAGCGUCUUACUGGCUACCCUUUCUGGAAAAUUGAUUUUACUAUGCUUGGCAGCUUGUAAUGGUUAUCAUAAGCUUAUAUAUGUGUGUGUAAUCUGCUUUGUUAUGUUCUAUUGUAUUAAUUAAGAAUCAAAUAAUAGAAUUCUAGCGUAAAAAAGCAGAACAACUUUUGGUUUUGUGCUUCUAAGGGUCGGAUCUUUGUGUUUUGAUGUCUGACCUUUGUUCAGGUUUUCUUUGGCAGAAAGGGCCUGAUCUGAGAUUUUUCUGUGCUCUGUGUCAUUUGCUUUUGAGUUAGGACAGUGCUUAUUGGUUUUUUUUUUUUUAAAGGCGGUUUUAUUCUUGCAUCACUGUUUAUGCCACAACAAGUCUAAAGCAUGGUUGCGGAAGACUUUAGUGGCAUAGAGCGUCUGAUGUGGGUAAAAGUGCUGUACAAUUUCAAAAGACGCCUAUGUUCCAUAGCGCCACUGCUAAACAUAAUCCUAACCAGCAGCAGGAACGCAUACACAGGCCAUCACUAACCUCAAAUCAUUCAAAAACCACAGAACACAGAUCGGGCGAAGCAAACUUCUAGCGCGAAGAAGGUGUCCGCAAUGGGCAUCGUGGACGCAGCAAACCAGGAGCCUUCAAAGAGCCUCAACAUCAGCAUCGUCAGGAAUUCAGCACGGCAUCAGCAGCAUUUGAAGUGAUUGACAAAAAUGUGGAUCCUUAGCAUAGGCCUCCUGUCAAUCCACAACCUCAAAACAUCCCACAAACCACCCCCUGGGAGAAACACCUGAACCCACCUUCACACUCACCGUCCCCUUCCAAUUCACUCAACCUGCUUGACACAAUACACAACACCAAUCGCUCAAAAGUUCAUGACAGUGCUUUAUUGGUUUGUUUUUUGAAAGGUGAAAUUUUAUUGAGCCAGCCUCCAACCUGCCACUUCAAGUCUUUAGUCUUAAUUGCUUAAAGACUCUUGAUGGCAUAAUAGUUGCCCUGGCUGGAUAAAACCUGUACACUUGUACCAAAAAGAAUCUGCCCAAAUAGAAACUGGCAGCACAGCACCAUGAACAAGAAGAGGUGCAAGAAAGGAAAAUCGUUCUAAUUCUACCUGAUUGGAAACAGCAAUACCCCCAACCCAACGAACAAGAAAAAAACUCCCACAGCGAGGAUCCCCUCAUGUGAAGUCAACCCUGCUCGCCCCACCAGAAGUUACACAGUAAAAGAAUCCUUUAGGAAACAUGGGAGAAGACCAUUCAAAAAUCUGAGUAAGGGACAAGACCUGGCAAUUCGCAGAACAGAACAGAACAAAAACCCUAGGGGAUCUCAUCAUCAACAAAAACCCUUCCUGGCGGCAAUAACCACAGUAUCUUAGACGAGCCAGCCCAGACAGCUUCGGAUUCAUCACAGGCUCAGCGCAAGAGCUUCCGGAACACAUCCCCACUCCCCGCCAUACCAACACAUCCUUUCACAUAAGAAACACGAGCAUCCAGCCGAACAGAGAAGUCAGAAGCAGCACCAAAAAGGAUCCCAAAACACCUGAACCCCCUAUCCCUGAGAUUCCUUCAAAUAACAUAGGAGGAGCCCAAACAGGGAGCCAUGAACUCACAGAAAAAGCCACCAUAUCAAGCAAAGCCAAAAAACAAGAAACAUGACAAAAACAUUACACUCCCAGCAAAGAACUGGUUGGCAAAAACAGAAAGGAACAAAGAAUGACACACUCACAGGAAAGAAAUCAUUCAUUAGAAAGGACAUUUUUUUCUUUUCUCUUUAUUAUUGAUCACUUGUUAAGCUGCCUUGACUUUUUGAGCUGCUAAUCUAUCGCCAGUGCCACUGGUUUCCUUGUCCGAGCCGUUCUUUGCCAUGCCAUAGGGAGUUUUUAGUAGUUACAGCCUUAAAUUAACAAUAGCAUUGAUCGGCCGCUGAAACGAAUAAAUUAACCUUUCAAAGAAUAAAACUUUUGGUUUUGUGGAAGAAUUACUUGUAAAAGUUCAUGAUGAUCACCUCAUGAUUUAUUUUGGUUAUCCUAAGGUCAAGGCUUCAUGAAUUUUUAUAUCUUUGGAUUUGCUUUUUAAAAUUACUUGAUUUUGACUAUCAAGAUUUUAUAUUUCUCAUAUUGUAAAAAGUUAUUUCACAAAAAACACAUUACCAUUUGGAGAGAGCAAUGGUAGCAAAUAAAAUGAAUAAUGCAAUGGUAUCACGCAAACAAUAAUGAAAUGAAAGUAACUCAAAAUAAGUGAUAUUAUUCAUAAGUUACUUUUGUUAUUGGGAUGUUUUGCAAACUUAUUAGUGUAGAUUUGGAAAUAGUUAAAGAGAAUUUCCUCUCAACAUUUUUUUUUAAGUAUAAGUGCUUUACAAAAACAAAUGUAAUUGCACCAUUAAUUUUUUUUUUAAAAGUUGUAAUUACACCAUUAAUAAUCAUUUGUUACAAACGGUUACUAUUCUCAAUGGUUACCUAAUGAGAUUUUCGUAAUUAUUACCUAUUAUGUACAUAAAAAAUGGAAAUAGUUGAGAGGUAAUUGGAACGAAGUUUAUUAAAGCAAAUACCUUUAAUGAGGAAUUUCACUAAAAAAUCCGCAAUGAAAAACAAUGUCCCAUAUCACAACAGAGUACUCUGUAAAUUUCUUGAAGAAGAGAAGGGUCAUAUAUAAAUAUCACCUCAUCAGAAUCACUUGAAAGUAAAUUAGCUAGUAAUGCAAGUUUGUAUUACACAUUUACGUCGUGAGAAAGAACUACUUCUUCUCUCUUUAAUUUUCAUGUUGGUUUAUGCCUUUAAAUUAUUUAUCUGUUAUAGCUAUGGUUACAACAAUGCUAUGGUGGCUUGUUGUUUUAAAUUAUUCUGAAAUCAUUUUGAAAUUUUCAGCCUUCUGAAACAUUUCAAUUACAAAUGGGGCAUUCUUUAUGAUUGCAUCUUCUAUCUCACUUCCUACUUUGUAGACUAAAACUAGGGAGUGCCGGAAACGCUCCCCAUUUUUCCAAUUUCAGUUUGAGCAACGUUAUCCAAGAAAAGGGUUCUUCAAUCUUUGAAACUUGUUAUUUUAUUCAGUUUGAAAGGGGCAAACUGAUUCAUUUUUAUUUUUUAUUAAAAACAUGAUCACUUGUCAUGCGUGACGCAGGCCUAUUGUAUAUUGCAUGGAGCAAUCAUAUCCGUAACAUGGUAGUCAUUGGAUUAAGUAAUUUAUCUGAUCCAACCAUGUGACAGAUUGUAUGACUUUUACAAUAUGAAAUGCAAAAUUACCAGCUGAAAGAGUCUGAACUGAUGUCAGAAACAUUUAGAAAAGAGUAAGAGUUGCUUCCAUUGACAUUGAACUUCUUGCCCAAGCUAGAACAGCCCUUUGAUCUGUAUGAAUUGACAAUUAGAAAGUAAAAAUGAAAAUUAAAAAAAAUGGAAGUAAUUUUUAAAAUUAGAUUAAUGAUUUUUAUAUCACAGUAGAGAAUUAGUUUUAAAACAGCAAAAAUCAUAAAGAGACAAACAGGAACAUGAUGAACCUUCUUACCAGCAUGACACGGUGGCAUGCACAAUCAAAAGCGGGUUUGAUUGCCGAAUAUCAUUUGUUUAUGUCGAUAAUUAAAUAUUGAGAUUAAGGGGCAGUUCGUAUAAAAAUAAUUAAAUAAGGCAAUAGUCCAUUUGAACUUUAAAGGUAUAUUAUAAAAAGAAUAUUCUUUAUCUUCAAAGUCAAAUUAGUACUGCAUUAUCUAGUUCAUGUUUUCCUUACACUGUAAAUUAAUCAGAACCACCAACUCUUCAAAUUACGGCCUACAAUAUCACAUCAAAUUUCAACCUGACCUUGAUUUCGUCAAAUUCCUAGAUAUUUCCUCAUAGAAAACAUGUGGCCUCGGAGGUCUUCUAUUGGUAUGCAAAUGAAGGGUCACUUUCAUGGUUAUUAAUUUCUAAAUUGAAACUUAUUGUCCAAGCAUUUGAUCCAUUAUAUUGACUUUGGCCUGGCCACGACCUUUGCAUCUUGAGCUCAUCAAAGAAAUGGCAGAAGUGAAGCUACACGGAUUCUGGGCUAGUCCUUUUAGUCAUAGAGUGAUUUCGGCAUUGAAAAUCAAAGGUGUAGACUAUGAAUACAUAGAGGAAGACCUUUCUAACAAGAGCGAACUGCUGUUGAAGUACAAUCCUGUUUACAAGAAGAUCCCUGUCCUUGUCCAUGGCGGCAAGCCGAUUGCUGAGUCCCUCGUCAUCCUUGAAUACGUCGAAGAAACCUGGCCGGAGAAUCCAUUGCUCCCAAGUGAUCCUUAUGAGAGAGCCAUGGCUCGAUUUUGGAUUCAAUUCGUAGAAGACAAGGUGAUUUUGACUCUUUCAUUAUCUCCAUUGAGGCAUUGACCUAUCAUUCUUUUCUUUUAUGUUAUUGUUAACAAUUAUCAAACUUUACAAUGAUCCUAGAGUCCGGUUUUCCGUCCAUUUUUUCUAUCAACCGGUGGAGAGGAGCAAGAGAAAGCAGCAAAGGAAUUGUUGGAAAUGCUGAAAAUUAUACAAGAGAAAGCUCUUGGGGAGAAGAAGUUUUUCGGUGGUGAUACCAUUAAUUUAGUGGACAUCUCCUACGGAGUGCUGGCCUAUUGGCUCAAGAUCAUGCAAGAAAUAAUUGGCGUUAAGGUGCUGGAACCAAACACCUUGCCUCGACUGCAUGAAUGGGCUUAAAAUUUCAUGGAAGUUGCUGUCAUCAAAGAAACAAUCCCUGAUCGUGAUAAAGUGUUGGCUCAUAUGAGAGGCGUGAGGGAGAAGAUUGUUGCUGAACAGUUUAACAAAUAGCAUAAAAAGGCUUCACACUAGCUAGCCUUCUGGAAAAUUGAUUGUCCUAAACUUGGCAGCUUGGGAUGCUUAUAUAAAGCUAUAUAUAUAUAUAUAUAUGUAAUCUGCUUAGUUAUGCUAUGUUGUAUUAAUUAAGCAUCAAAUAAUUGAAUUCUAUUGUAUAAAAGCAGAACUUUUUUUGGUUUUAUGGGAGGAUUAAUUUUACAAGCCCAUGAUGAUCAGGAAAGAAAUGGGUAUUUUUGGAAUUUAAGAAAGGGAGGCCAUGAAAGCUGGGAAUUUUAAGCUGGUUCUGUUUCGUUAGAACAAAGAGAGACAGAGCGAGAGAGAAAUUUUGAGAAAAAUAAGGAGGACCAAAUUAAAGAAUUUUUUUUUUCUUCUAAAUAAUUAUGGCGGUUUUACUUGCUAUUAUGCCACGUUAGGGCACCGGUUAAGAAAAUGACAAAUGUCAUAAUGAUUAAUACUAGUUAAUUUUUUAAUUUUUUUAUUAAGUGUUUUGUAACUUAUUUGAUUUUAAAUAAUAAUAUAAAAAUUUAUUAAAAAUAAAUAAAAAUAUAAGACUUGUUUGUAUUUUUUUUUCAGUGGAGAAGUUAUAAUAUUAAAUUGGAAUCAUCAUAAGAAAACAUAUUCCCAUCAUAUCAUAUAAUAAUAAAUUUUUAACUCCCACUAGAGGAGUAUUAUGAGCAACAUAAGAAACAUCAAAUAAUUAAAUAAAAAAUUAAAAACAGAUUUGAUUUUUGACAUAAUAAUCAAAUAAGCUCAUAAAUUAUUUUAAAAAAUUAAAUAAGCCUUUAUUCUUUUAUUGUAUUCAAUCAAAACUUUGUAUUUUUAUUUUUUAUCAAAUAAGUUUUUAUAACAAAUGAUUAACUAAUUAUCAUUAGUUAAAAUACUUAUUAUCAUUCUAUAACCACAUACCAUUAACAUGGCAUUGAUGCAAAUAGUAAAAAAUAUCAUAUGAACAUGUUAUUAUAUCAAAUUAGUAUGUCACGCCAUCAUCAAUUUUAAUAUAUCAGUAUGUCACACCAUUAUCAAUUAUGAUAUGUUAACAUGAUACAUCAGCACCACGCGAUAUAAAAUAAUAAGUGACAUUUUGACUAAGUUAAUUAUUAGUCAUAAAAGUUUAUUUGACUCAAAAUAAAAAUAUAAUGACUUAUUAGGCUUCAAAUAAAAGUAUAAAAACUUAAUUGAAUGUAAUAAAAAUAUAAAAACUUAUUUGAAUUUUACUAAAUAGUUUAAGGACUUUUUUAAAUAUCAUACCUUAGAUUAUUUUUUUUAUAAUUUAAAAACUUUUUCAAAUAUUAUGAUCUUUGUCUUAAAAGUGAAAUUGAUCCUACAUUAUCUAGUUCAUGUUUUCCAUAUAUCCUCACUAUAAACUAAUUAAAUCAUGAACUCUUCAAAUUAGGGCCUAAGACAUCAUAUCAAAUUUCAAGCACAUCCUAGCUAUUUUCCCACUACAAACAUCUUGCCCAAGAUGUAUAAAUUGGUGGUAUAUAUUGUUUUGAAUUAUACGUCUAUUAUAGAACAUAUGAUAAAAUAUGUGACAGAAUACGUUGUAAAUAGUUGACUUACAAAUGAUGUGGCUGAAUGCAUGACAACUGAUGCGUUAGAUAAGUUGUCAUAAUAGAAGAUGUCAAUACACAAACAAUCAACACUGUGGUAGAAAGCAUCAACAUGGGUGGGGUGUGUGAAAUAGAGAUUUUUAAUAUUUGGGGGCUUUGAUAUCAUGUUAUGAACAAAUUUAUCAUAAAGAUGAAAAUAGUGUGUGUUAUGUGUAUAUGUGUAUAUGUAAAAUGUGUCAAUACAUGGACAAUUGGUGUUGUGAUAAAACAUAUCAAUAUGGUGGGAUGCGUGAAACAGAAAUUGUUGAUGUCCAAGGUGACUUUGAUAUGAUAUUACCAAAAGAUUUGUUAUAAAGGUGAAUAAAGUAUAGUCUAACUGUAUCAUUAUCUUUAACAGUUGAUAUUGAUUAAAAGAGAGUGAAGGAAAAAUAAAACUUUGGUGAGACCAUCCGGUCCAAAAUAUUGUGGAUUGAGAAAAUAUAGGCUAGAUUAGGCUAGUUAUUUUUUACAUGAGAAUUAGUUCUAAAACAGCAAAAAUCAUAAAGAGACAAACAGGAACAUGAUGAAACUUCUUACCAGCAUGACAGGGUGGCAUGCACAAUCAAAAGCAGGUUUGAUUACCAAAUAUCAUUUGUUUAUUUCGAUAAUUAAAUAUUGAGAUUAAGGGGCAGUUGGUAUAUAAAUAAUUAAAUAAGGCAAUAGUCCAUUUGAACUUUGUUUUAUUCAUUCCAAGAGGCAGGAUAUCGAAAUUUUCAUGCAAAGGUAUAUUAUAAAACAAUAUUCUUUAUCUUGAAAGUCAUAUUAGUACUGCAUUUUCUAGUUCAUGUUUUCCUUACACUGUAAAUUAAUCAGAAUCAUCAACUCUUCAAAUUAGGGCCUACAAUAUUACAUCAAAUUUAAACCUGACCUUGAUUUCGUCAAAUUCCCAGAUAUUUCCUCAUAGAAAACAUGUGGCCUAGGAGGUAUUCUAUUGGUAUACAAAUGAAGGGUCACUUUUAUGGUUAUUAAUUUCUAAAUUGAAACUUAUUGUCCAAGGAUUUGAUCCAUUAUAUUGACUUUGGCCUGGCAACAACCUUUGCAUCUUGAGCUCAUCAAAGAAAUGGCAGAAGUGAAGCUACAUGGAUCCUGGGCUAGUCCUUUUAGCCAUAGAGUGAUUUGGGCAUUGAAAAUCAAAGGUGUAAACUAUGAAUACAUAGAGGAAGACCUUUCUAACAAGAGCGAACUGCUGUUGAAAUACAAUCCUGUUUACAAGAAGAUCCCUGUCCUUGUCCACGGCGGCAAGCCGAUUGCUGAGUCCCUCGUCAUCCUUGAAUACAUCGAAGAAACCUGGCCGGAGAAUCCAUUUCUCCCAAGUGAUCCUUAUGAGAGAGCAAUGGCUCGAUUUUGGAUUCAAUUCGUAGAAGACAAGGUGAUUUUGACUCUUUCAUUAUCUCUAUUGAGGCAUUGACCUAUCAUUCUUUUCUUUUAUGUUCUUGUUAAGAAUUAUCAAACUUUACAAUGAUCCUAGGGUCCGAUUUUCCGUGCAUUUUUUCUAUCAACCGGUAGAGAGGAGCAAGAGAAAGCAGCAAAGGAACUGUUGGAAGUGCUGAAAAUUAUAGAAGAGAAAGCUCUUGGGGACAAGAAGUUUUUCGGUGGUGAUACCAUUAAUUUAGUGGACAUCUCCUACGGAGUGCUGGCCUAUUGGUUCAAGAACGUGGAAGAAGUAAUUGGCAUCAUGGUGCUGGAACCAAACACCUUGCCUCGACUGCAUGAAUGGGCUCAAAAUUUCAUGGAAGUUGCUGUCAUCAAAGAAACAAUCCCUGAUCGUGAUAAAAUGCUGGCUUAUUUGAGACGCGUGAGGGAGAAGAUUGUUGCUGAACAGUCUAACAAAUAGCAUAAAAAAGCUUAUCAGUUUAAUAUCUGAUACGUGGGCCAUUGGUCCACGUGAUAUUAAAUUAAUUUUUUUAGGGGGAGAGCCCAUAGGAAAAACAAAAAUAGCAUAAAAAAGCUUCAUACUAGCUAGCCUUCUGGAAAAUUGACUUUCCUAAACUUGGCAGCUUGGGAUGCUUAUCUAAAGCUAUAUAUAUAUCUAAUCUACUUAGUUAUGCUAUGUUGUAUUAAUUAAGCAUCAAAUAAUUGAAUUCUAUUGUAUAAAAGCAGAACUUUUUUUGGUUCUAUGGGAGGAUUAAGUUUACAAGUCCAUGAUGAUCAGGAAAGAAAUGGGUAUUUUUGGAAUUUAAGAAAGGGAGGCCAUGAAAGCUGGGAAUUUUAAGCUGGUUCUGUUUCGUUAGAACAAAGAGAGAGAGAGAGAGAGAGAGAGAGAGAGAGAGAGAGAGAGAGAAGAAAUUUCAGAAAAAUAAGGAGGACCAAAUUAAAGAAUGUUUUUUUCUUUCUUCUAAAUAAUUGUGAUGGUUUUACUUAUGCCAUGUUAGGGCACCGGUUAAGAAAAUGACAAAUGUCAUAAUGGUUAAUACUAGUUAGUUUUUUAAUUUUUUAUUAAGUGUUUUGUAACUUAUUUGAUUUUAAAUAAAAAUAUAAGACUUUGAUUGUAUUUUUUUUUUCAAUGGAGAAGUUGUAAUAUUAAAUUGAAAUCAUCAUAAGAAAACAUAUUUCCAUCAUAUCAUAUAAUAAUAAAUUUUUAACUCCCACCAAAGGAGUAUAAUGAGCAACAAAAGAAACAUCAAAUAAUUAAAUGAAAAAUUAAAAACAUAUUUGAUUUUUGACAUAAUAUUCAAAUAACCUCGUAAAUUAUUUUAAAAAAUUAAAUAAGCUUUUAUUUUUUUAUUUUAUUCAAUUAAAAUUUUGUAUUUUUAUUUUUUGUCAAAUAAGUCUUUAUAACAAAUGAUUAACUAAUUAUCAUUAGUUAAAAUACCUAUUAUCAUUCUAUAACCACAUAGUAUUAACAUGGCAUUGAUACAAAUAGUAAAAAAUAUCAUAUGAACAUGUUAUUAUAUCAAAUUAAUAUGUCACGUUAUUAUCAAUUAUAAUAUAUUAGUAUGUCAUACCAUUAUCAAUUAUGAUAUGUUAGCAUGAUACAUCAGCACCAUCCAAUAUAAAAUAAUAAGUGACAUUUUGACUAAGUUAAUUAUUAGUCAUAAAAGUUUAUUUAACUCAAAAUAAAAAUAUAAUGACUUAUUAGGCUUAGAAUAAAAGUAUAAAAACUUAAUUGAAUGUAAUAAAAAAAUAAAAACUUAUUUGAAGUUUACUGAAUAGUUUAAGGACUUUUUUAAAUAUCAUACCUUAGAUUAUUUUUCUUAAUAAUUUAAAAACUUUUUCAAAUAUUAUGAUCUUUGUCUUGAAAGUGAAAUUGACCCUACAUUAUCUAGUUCAUGUUUUCCAUAUAUCCUCACUGUAAACUAAUUAAAUCAUGAACUCUUCAAAUUAGGGCCUAAGAUAUCAUUUCAAAUUUCAAGCACAUCCUAGCUAUUUCCCCACUAAAAACAUCUUGCCCAAGAUGUACAGAUUGGUGGUAUACAUUGUUUUGAAUUACAUGUUUAUUAUAGAACAUAUGAUAAGGUAUGUGACAUAAUACGUUAUAAAUAAUUGACUUACAAAUGAUGUGACUGAAUACAUGAUAACUAAUGGGUUAGAUAAGUUGUCAUGAUAGAAGAUGUCAAUACACGAACAAUCAACACCGUGGUAGAAAUCAUCAAUAUGGGUGGGAUAUGUGAAAUAGAGAUUUUUAAUGUUUGGGGGCUUUGAUAUCAUGUUAUGAACAAAUUUAUCAUAAAGAUGAAAAAAGUGUGUAUUACGUGUAUAUGUAUAUAUGUAAAAUGUGUUAAUACAUGGACAACUGGUGUUUUGACAAAAGAUAUUAAUAUGGUGGGAUGUGUGAAACAAAAAUUGUUGAUGUCCAAGGUGACUUUGACAUGAUGUUACCAAAAGAUUUAUUAUAAAGGUGAAUAAAGUAUAGUCUAACUGUAUCAUUAUCUUUAAUAGUUGAUAUUGAUUAAAAGAGGGCAAAGGAAACAAAUAAAAUAAAAAUUUGGUGAGACCAUCUGGUUCAAAAUAUUGUGGAUUGAGCAAAUAUGAGUUAGAUUGGAUUGGUCUAUUUUUUACAUAGACCAUCAAAAUUUCAAUCCAGCCCAACCCAACCCUCGUUAAUCCAUGAGUCAAGUUAGGCCAGCCCACUAAUUUUUUUCAAAAAAUAUUCAUUUUCAUAAUUUUACUUAACAAACUCCUUAUCAAUAAAAUUAUUUUAUGAUUUAAUCUAUAAAUUGAAUAAUAAAAAUAUAUUACAAACAAAUAAAUUAUAUGAAACAUAAAUUAGCAAAUAAAUUAUAUCAAAGGUAAAUAAAGUUUCAAUUUUUAACAUAAACUACAAUCUCAUAAACAUAAGUAAAACAUUUAAAUCUUAUUUGAAUGGUAAUAAUGUCUCAAAGUUUGAAUCAUUAUCAUUUAAUAUUUAUUACCAUAAAAGAAAAAGAGAUAAUCAGUUUCAAUCUUAACUAAAACUAUUAAUUUGACAAGUAAAAGUUGAAGACAUUGAAAUAUAUAAAAUAAAUAGUAAUAUUAGUAACUAAAUUAUUAAUUUUAUAUAACUAAAUAUAUAAAAUUAUUAAAUUAACUAAAAUUAUUAAUUUAAUUUUUUUCUUCUAUCUUGGAGGGUUAGCCCACAUCAACAUGAGAUAACUCACUGAUCAGAUAAGUAGCCCAUUUAAGCUCGAUUUUAAUAUGGAUAUGAAUUUUCAAAUCCUAGCUCACUUAAUUUUUAAUAAAAAAUGAACCAACUCAAUAGAUCAGGUCCAUUUUAACAGGUUUCCAUAGGUAAAUCGGAUAGAAGAGUCUUAACACUUGAAUCAAAAUAUUCUUGAACAAGAAAAGAUUCACUUUCAUGGGUAUUAAUUUCUAAAUUGAACCUUAUUGUCCAAGCAUUUGAUUGAUGCAUAUAGAGACUUUGGCCUGGCAACAGACUUUGCUCCUUGAGGCUGGAGCUCAUCAAAGCAAUGGCAGAAGUGAAGCUACACAGAUUCUGGGCAAGUCUUUAUAGUCAUGGAGUGAUUUGGGCAUUGAAAAUCAAAGGUGUAGACUAUGAAUACAUAGAGGAAGACCUUUCUAACAAGACUGAACUACUGUUGAAGUACAAUCCUGUUUACAAGAAGAUCCCUGUCCUUGUCCAUGGCGGCAAGCCAAUUGCUGAGUCCCUCACCAUCCUUGAAUACAUCCAGGAAACCUGGCCGGAGAAUCCAUUGCUCCCAAGUGAUCCUUACGAGAGAGCCAUGGCUCGAUUUUGGAU